GUGCCAGCAGCCGCGGUAAUACAGAGGUCUCAAGCGUUGUUCGGAUUCAUUGGGCGUAAAGGGUGCGUAGGUGGCGGGGCAAGUUGGAUGUGAAAUCCCGGAGCUUAACUCCGGAACUGCAUUCAAUACUGCCUUGCUAGAGUACUGGAGAGGAGAUUGGAAUUUACGGUGUAGCAGUGAAAUGCGUAGAUAUCGUAAGGAAGACCAGUGGCGAAGGCGGAUCUCUGGACAGUUACUGACACUGAGGCACGAAGGCCAGGGGAGCAAACGGGAUUAGAAACCCCGGUAGUCC
Molecule: ribosomal RNA, 292 nt
Filed under: uncultured bacterium
Lineage: Bacteria
Description: partial 16S ribosomal RNA
Rfam family: Bacterial small subunit ribosomal RNA
Source: RNAcentral